GCAAAACUGGGACUCAACAACAGAAGAGACACAAACUUUCACAGUGGUGUUUCAUACAAAACACAGACAGAUUCUCUUUAUCUUUAAGAUGCUGUCAGUCAACUUCAGUCUGUUUGUCACUUUGUUUCUGCUCACAAUAAGAGGUGUCAGCUGUGAAGACCUCAGUCCAGUCAACAAUGAAGAGUCCAGUUUAGAAGACAGCACUGUUACUCUGUCCUACAAAUACUCCAAACAAGCAACUGGUGGUGAUUAUUUCUUCUGGUAUCGACAAUAUCCAGGAAAACCACCAGAGUUCCUCAUCUCUCACUACGGAACAGGAACAGUAACAUCUAAUUCAGCCUCCAGACUGACUGUGAAAGUGAGUGAGGAUCAAACCCAAAUGGAUCUGCAGAUCUCCUCUGCUGCAGUGACUGACUCUGCUCUGUACUACUGUGCUGUGAGGCCCACAGUGACAGCAAACCCACAGUCUCUGUACAAAAACACAAGCUGACACACUGACGAGCUGC
This is a non-coding RNA of Chelmon rostratus (copperband butterflyfish), 506 nucleotides long. The record is from the annotation of a RefSeq genome assembly. Lineage: Eukaryota; Metazoa; Chordata; Actinopteri; Chaetodontiformes; Chaetodontidae.